This 215-nucleotide long non-coding RNA is filed under the name Lathyrus oleraceus (garden pea). Its description in RNAcentral is "Pisum sativum (pea) long non-coding RNA (PSAT_LNC009289)". Lineage: Eukaryota; Viridiplantae; Streptophyta; Magnoliopsida; Fabales; Fabaceae. The record is from RNAcentral.
CUUACUUCUCAAAGAAGUUAAGUUGUUCCAUGAAAGGGAGUCAAGGAUCAAGUACUCAAGCAUACAAGCAGAACCAUAUGACUCACAAAGUGUUAAUCAAAAGCCAACCUAUGUCAGCUUAUGCCACAGGUAAUUCACUAUGUCUUAAAACAACACAAAAUGCAACAAAAGACAUCAUAAGCAAACUCAUGCAAUUAUGUGUCAAGACAAAUGAA